Chenopodium quinoa (quinoa) is the source of this 812-nucleotide long non-coding RNA. RefSeq lists it as uncharacterized. The transcript is spliced from 2 exons. Lineage: Eukaryota; Viridiplantae; Streptophyta; Magnoliopsida; Caryophyllales; Amaranthaceae. The record is from RefSeq and is a predicted model, not a curated record.
GACUUUAUAUAUUAGUGAUGUGAUAUGAUAUUAAAUUUUUCACACAUUAUACCUUGGUCUCCCAGUCAUAUUAUUUCUUUCUCUUACUUUUCAAAAAAAUUUUAUUCCUGACCAUACCUAUACUCCACGCACAAUUCAACGGGACACUUAAAAAACGAAGGGAGUAUCAAGUUGUCAAUACAUUUGGACAUAUGCCAUCAUGUCAAUGUUUUAUGGAUUUCAAGCUACUAUAAAUAGAAGCGUGGUGUGAAGAAAUGAUGGGAGAAAUCAAGGCAUUAGCUGAUCAACAAAUUAAGUACACUAAAUAUAAAACGAGUAUUUCUUUUUAUAGAAUUCUUUUUAGUUUUGAGAAAUGGAUAGGGUCUCAUUCAACCCUGUUGCUCUUGCUUUUUUAGCAUUCUUGCUGUAUACUGCAACAACACCAGUAGUUGGAAGGGCGACAACAUCUUCAGCUGAAGAACUGCCAUUGCCAUUGGUUUAUAAAAUGAAAAUGGCAGCGAGCCGAGUCCAACCAAUUGUCAAUAUCCUUGACUCGUACAUGAAGAAAGAUUUACAGUGCGUAGAACAAGGCCGAUACUGUAACUUUUAUUUUGGACCUGAUUGUUGCUCUAAUUAUUUAGCAUGUGUACCGCCGGGUAUUGUUGGUGGUGUGUGUGUCGCUUAGUUAAGAUCAAUCACUAACUACACUGCCAUCAAUUACAUAAAUAAUCAGUGCAGUGCGUGGUUGAUCUGCUGAACUUGUGUCUCGAUUUAAUUCACUUUCAUUGUAAUGUUGUAUGAAUAAAAUGUCAUCGCUAUGUGUUCAUGCUUAA